GGCAUCCGAACGUCAGAAGCCGCCAUCCUCCCCUAUGUGCCCUACCCAACCUGCCCAGCCACAGGCUCCCCUCCCGCCACCCACCUGCCCAUCCUGCAGCCCAGACGGACGUCACAGCUGGGGGCGCUCAUGACCGACCCCACAACCGGCAUCGAGGUGCCUGUGCUGGCUGUGACUCUUCAUCCUCAAACCAGGCAGUGGCUCACUCUUGGGGGCACAUACUGCAAUCCUCUCACCAAGACCUUGGCCCCCCUCGAGUUGGGGGGCCCCAUGGAGGACCCAGUCACGGGAAGCAUCUCGCCAAUCCUGGGAGUCGGGUUGGAUGAAAACACAGGUCAGGUGUUUGCCCUGGGGGGGCUGCGAGACGCCUCGGGGAGCCUUAUGCUGCCUGGUGACUGCUUCGAGGAGCCUCUGAGCGGGAAGACGGUCCGGCUGCAGGGAGCUUCUCGGCGGGAGGGCCAGACAGUGCCCCACAUGGGAGGAUCACAGGCCCUGCUGGACGCCAACGUGUUGAUGGCCCAGAGACGAGUGGUUGCCAUGCUCCAGAGCUACCGGGAGAGGCCGGGGUCGAGGACACAGAGGCUUCUGGAGACUACCAUCAAGGACACGAGACAGGCACUGGGCUUGAGUCUGCACCAUGCCCUGCAGCAGGCUCGGAGACUGGAGCGGCAGCUGGGGACAGCAGAGGCCAUCAUGGCCAGUGGUGGGAGGAUAGGGAUGAUGUGCUAUCCUGGGACGGAGCUGUGGGUCCCGGUCCUAUACGGGAUGGAGAUCCCAGACCCUGAGGGCUCAGGGCUCAUGGUGCCCAUCCUGGGCAUGGAGACUGAUGGGAAUUCAGGUGAUGCCACACCCCUGGCAGGUUCAAUGGAAGAUGCUGAUGGCAAAGGUAGGAGGGAACUGGGGACCUGUGAAAGUCCCAGGGGGAUUAGGGUUGUGACUUAGCCCUGGGUGAGAAAGCCCUGGAAAGUACUUUCCAGGAAGGGUACCCCCAGUCCAUUUACUCUUGAGUCAUAGGAUGGGGUCCUUCUGACACCUCUGCUAGGGCUGCUGAGAUUCCAGAAUCAGAGGACCACAGGUCAUUUAUCCCCCAUUGAGAAAAGUGGGUCUUUUCAAAAACCAGCACUUCAGAACUUCACCUUCAGGGUCAAUGGCCUCCGAGAAUCCCUCCAAUCCAG
This 1175-nucleotide long non-coding RNA is filed under the name Mustela putorius furo (domestic ferret). RNAcentral's name for it is "lncRNA (ENSMPUG00000031952.1)". Lineage: Eukaryota; Metazoa; Chordata; Mammalia; Carnivora; Mustelidae. The record is from RNAcentral.